RNAcentral lists this ribosomal RNA (254 nucleotides) under uncultured bacterium. RNAcentral describes it as "partial 16S ribosomal RNA". It matches the Rfam family "Bacterial small subunit ribosomal RNA", at positions 524 to 777 of the family's 1533-position model. The record is from RNAcentral.
UACGUAGGGGGCAAGCGUUGUCCGGAUUUAUUGGGCGUAAAGAGCGUGUAGGCGGUUAUACAGGUCCGCUGUGAAAACUGGAGGCUUAACCUCCAGACGUCGGUGGAAACCGUAUAACUAGAGUCCGGAAGAGGAGAGUGGAAUUCCUGGUGUAGCGGUGAAAUGCGUAGAUAUAGGAAGGAACACCAGUGGCGAAGGCGACCACCUGGACUGAUACUGACACUGAGGUGCGAAAGCGUGGGGAGCAAACAGGA